CCUACGGGUGGCAGCAGUGGGGAAUAUUGGGCAAUGGGCGCAAGCCUGAUCCAGCAACGCCGCGUGAAGGAAGAAGGCUUUCGGGUUGUAAACUUCUUUUGUCAGGGACGAAGCAAGUGACGGUACCUGUCGAAUAAGCCACGGCUAACUACGUUCCAGCAGCCGCGGUAAUACGUAGGUGGCAAGCGUUUUCCGGAUUUACUGGGUGUAAAGGGCGUGUAGCCGGGGUGACAAGUCAGAUGUGAAAUCCGGGGGCUCAACCCCUGAACUGCAUUUGAAACUGUUGGUGUUGAGGAUAGGAGAGGCAGGCGGAAUGCGUGGUGUAGCGGGGAAAGGCGUAGAUAUUAGGAGGAACAUCAGUGGCGAAGGCGGCAGGCUGGACGACAACUGACGGGGAUGAGCGAAAGCGUGGGGAGCAAACAGGAUUAGAUACCCCAGUAGUC
Molecule: ribosomal RNA, 443 nt
Filed under: uncultured bacterium
Lineage: Bacteria
Description: partial 16S ribosomal RNA
Rfam family: Bacterial small subunit ribosomal RNA
Source: RNAcentral